Paramuricea clavata is the source of this 377-nucleotide non-coding RNA. The record is from the annotation of a GenBank genome assembly. NCBI's taxonomy places the organism in Eukaryota, Metazoa, Cnidaria, Anthozoa, Malacalcyonacea, Plexauridae.
ACGGAUCGGUCAAAUUAUUACGGUUGGAUAAACUGGCAAUACUAUUAUCGUGAUUCGACGAUUAGCAAGAAAUUUGGCGUAUAUUUUUAAAGAUAAGAAGAAAACAGCGUGAAUUUUGUUGAUAUUUGUGGUUCAUAUGUUUAUAUGCGAAGGAUUUUUUCUGUAGAUUUAAAUUACUCAAAGAUCGGGCAGAAAAAUCAUCAGUUUUAAAGUGUGGAAUUCGGAGCGGACCCUAGCAUACGAAGUGUCAAUUCAACCUGUUCACCAAGAAAUCUAUAUUUGUCAACACAUGGAGUGAAUUUUGGCAUAUUUCCUACGGCUCCGUUUUCUUUAGUUGAUCUGCCAAUCAUGCCUUUUUUACAGAGGGUAGAAAUGGC